CAACCUCUUGCUCUGGAAUACCCCGGGGAAACUCGGAUCAAUGCCAGAUAAAGUGCGGCGCUGCAGGGUGCCGUACCAAAGAUAGCUUCGGCCUUCGGCGAGAGACGAGUCCGCGGCCCAUUAGCUAGUUGGCGGGGUAAUGGCCCACCAAGGCUACGAUGGGUAGCUGGUCUGAGAGGAUGAUCAGCCACACUGGGACUGAGACACGGCCCAG
RNAcentral lists this ribosomal RNA (214 nucleotides) under uncultured bacterium. Its description in RNAcentral is "partial 16S ribosomal RNA". It matches the Rfam family "Bacterial small subunit ribosomal RNA", at positions 126 to 334 of the family's 1533-position model. The record is from RNAcentral.